AAGUUAUAACAUUCAAACCUGGGCUUAGGCCAUUCGAGGGAAUAAUCGAAAGGGCAAACCAAAAAUCAGCCGAGUGGUGGUUCUGAAGUCCGCCCCUAAGUACAAUUACUUCUAUUAUGGACCAGCGUACUCAGUCAAGUACGUUCUACGACAAUCUCGUGCCUAAAGCAGGUCCCAAGGAGGUAUCCAAACUUAGAAAUCAUCAUGAUGGAAUUUUAUUCCAAAUGAGCUCUGAUACGUGAAAAUUCUUUAGAUAAGUUAGCAAUGUAUAAUUUGAUCGGAAUGACUCAAGUACGAUGCAUAUAGGGUCUAAAAAAUGAUUCUAAAGGUGUUUUCAUCUCACGUGCAAGCAAUCAAGUUCCUUAUGAAACUUUUGUUUAAGGUUCACUAGAACGAACAUGAAAUUCGGACAAGGAAAGAAGCCCCUUCAUGGUGACACAUUACGAUCAUUAAAAUCCACAACCUAGAAUGAAACACGGUGAACGAACAAACUAAUACAAAGUCAUGCCUGAAGAAAAAAUUUGUCUCAAACACUUAGAUUAACCUUCUGUAAGUGUUAGCAAUUAUUGCUUAGCCAACAAGGCAAUUGAAACAAGUCGGCUUGACAUUGAGAUCUGGUUAAUAACUUUCUCAUCCUUAAUCCGAUCAAUGCAUCACAAGUCUUAGAGUGCAAGAUUUUCCAUAGGUCUUAGACCUUGAGUCGGAAUAGGGUGGUAUUCCGACUAUCACGGUGAAAAUCUAUAUAAACGAUGAGUUUGGGAGUGACAUUUUUUACUUCAAUGUUGUCAAGGGAAAACAGGACUCAGGCCUAUACGCUUGUUCGUGUUUAACUCCGAGUUCAUUUACUCUGGAAAGAUUGUCUUAAAUCUUAUUUCGCUAUAAUGAAGUGAAGAAUGAAAAGUUCCAAGUAUUUUACUCUAAUAAGAUCAACUAUUUGAGUAGAUAACAUUUAGCAAAAGUGUGUGGGAACAUUUUUAAUUAUUACGUAAAAUAAUAGAAGUCUCAUGAAUGGUACAAAACGCGUACAAUUUCGGGAGAGAAAAGCCCUCACUCCUGGCGGAAAAUUUCUUUAAGUGCAUAAAGAAAGCAGUGCAAUUCUUUUCCAACGGAGAUGCUUGUCGUUUCAACACUCAUAAUCUGCCUUAGAUGGAUGCCAAAAAGGGCUUCAAUGAAGAAGAACCAUUUAAAAAUCUUGACACAUUGCUCGAAUUGAACCUGUAUGCGUAGACUACGAGGAUGAUGUCACUUAUAGUUGGGAAAUAGAGCGCGAAAGCUAAGAAGGAGAAACCUGACAAGGGAAGGAAGUUCAUUUUCAAGAAGUUGUAGCUCAUCCAUAUCCUAUUCAACAAUUCCUGAUAGCAACGGAUAAGAGUGUUGUAAGUUUCUUGGUUGCAUAUCCUGAUCAUUGAAGGCUUAAAGUGAGUAUUAGAAUCGAUGUUGAAGCGUGGAAAACACUAAGAAGAGCUGAAGAAUGUAUAGGACACAACUAGAAAAUAUCAUUUUGCCGACAAAUUCUAAGCUGACAAAAUAAAAUUUUGUCGCCACAAAACACCUACCUCAAUGAAAAUUUUAAUUUGUAGGCUCAUAGCCGUUGAAUUUGUGCCGACAAUAUUUUCGUUGGCGAAAAAUAUUUAUACCGACAAAUAAAAUGACACUCGGGAAAGCAUGCAAGUCUAUUGUCUCUGACAAUCAGAAGAUGGGUCAGGAAGAGUGACUAGUCUCGAGUCAUUGGUGUGUGUGACAUCAAGACAAGCAUGUUGGUGCUUAAUAAUGAAUGAGUCCACUGAACACGAUCAACGAGGAGUUCUUAUACUCAUGUCACAUGAGAACUCAUGGUUGGGAUAAUGCAAAGUAGUCCUUUGACCUGAGGCAUCAUAGUUGUCGUGUGGUUAAGUCCUUGAUCUUUGAUUAUGUCAAAGUCACUCCAUUAGGAGGGUGUCCACGGCAUCGUCGGGGUUAAGCCACUUAGCCAUAGAGGCAAGUGAAUGCGCAACAAGGGAUCUCUAACCUUCAAAUCGUUUGGGGGAGAAUACUCUAUGAUAUGAUUAAGAAUCUCUAGCCAGAGUAUGAAUGAGAUUUAGGAAGUCGUUCCAAAUAACAUUCAAGGUAAUCAUAUAAGCACACAAAUCACAUUGGAUAGUAGACAUGAAUAAAAUAUCAAACCAAACAAUGUGGUCAAGAGUAUUGUAUUAGAGAAAGACCGUAUUGCAUUUGUAAUCCUAAACUGAAUAGGUUCUCCACCUCUUCUGAUUAGCUUGGGUAACCAUGAUAUGCUGCUAGGUGC
RNAcentral lists this long non-coding RNA (2284 nucleotides) under Malus domestica (apple). RNAcentral's name for it is "long non-coding RNA (MDOM_LNC000060)". The record is from RNAcentral. Lineage: Eukaryota; Viridiplantae; Streptophyta; Magnoliopsida; Rosales; Rosaceae.